GACAAUCUCCUUAUUCAUUUCACAUGCUAAUUAAAAACUCCCAAGAUAGGAUACAAGCAACUGCUCUUAGUGAAAUACUGUUAGCACCAUCAAGCUAUCUGAAACAUCCACAACUGCAAUAUUUAAUAUGUACAACAAUUAUAUGCUCUUGUUAUAAUUCAGACCAGCUUUAGCGCUGCUAAAUAAAGAAACUUUCAGGCACACACUUGGAGACUAAAACAACGAAUACAAUCAUAUUUUAUGUUAGAGCACCUUCUAUGAAAUUAAGAAACAAUAAUUUCAAAGAUUGGCUGACGGGAGUGAUGGCUGCAUUGGCUGCACCAGUUCUCUUCUUUGCCGAACGACUCCCCAAACCCCACAAUGUGGGAUAGUAGAUAUUACUGGAUAUGCUGUUGUUGUAAUUUCAAAGAUUAUCAAAAGUAGCAUGCAAAAUUUCUCACCUCUUAACAGGAUACGGUCUUACAGUACUUCAAGUUAAAUUAGCCUAUGACCCUCUUGGUGUAAUUCAGAAUUUUUUAAGUCACACUAAGACGCAUAAGUAUGAAAAAAAUCAAGUCUAAGAAUGAAACCAACCACUUUCUUAUGAUGCUAGCAAAAUAGAAGAUGCAGAAUUAUAACCGAUUCAGCAACCUAAAAAUGAUUAAUGUGAUGCAAUAUCAAAGGCUUAUAAUUGUAGGCCUACAACUUCGAACGAAAAUGGACAUAAGACCCUUCUCAUUUUACUAAGAGUCAAUUAAAAAUCCUCAUAGCUUCUUCAGUCAUGCCAUUGGGGGUCACUGCCUUAGUACCUCUGUAUUGAGUCGUCGUAUUCCUAUUCAAUCUCAUUGUAUUGCCAGAAAAAAAUAAUUAUUCUUUAUUGCUACUUUUAUAAUUUAAAUUAAAGUAAUAUAUAUUCCACCUAUUAUUUACUCCCAAAAAAAAUCAAUUUCAAAAUUUUUUCUUGCAAUAAUGGAUAAAUUCAUGCCAAAAAUAAACAAUCUAAUUUCUAAAUUUCAAGAUUUCUUUUUGCAAUAAAUGGAUAAAUUCAUGCCAAAAAUAAACAAUCUAAUUUCUAAAUUUCAAGUUUAUGCUCAUGGUAGUGCUAAGGACAGAGGAGUAUCAAUGUGAUGCUAUUAUAGCCAUCUCUAAAAGAACAUAUCGGAUUUUCCGAAAGAACAUUUUAUCAAACACUUUAUAAGUGUCAAUACCAUUCUUUCAUGCUUUUUCAGAAGUAAUUUAAUACCAAUUGUGUUGUCGUUCACAAGUCAACGUCUGAGCAUAAAAAAAAUAGAACAUCACAAUCAUCUGAAAAGUCACCAUCACAGCAUCACCAAAAUAGACCCGAGGAACAAUACAGUAAGUAGAUAAAAUAUAUUACAUAGAGUGCACAUGUAUACAUUACACUUGCUAAGGCAUAUACAAACAGACUCAUCACCACUCUUGAAGUACCCAUUUGAAGUAGGGUGCUUGUUCAUAUGCAUUCAAUGAUUUCCAUCAAACCCAUCCGAAGGGAACUGAGCAAUAAACUACUCUUCAGUAUCUCUGAGUCUCCAAUCAAUGGUAUCCAUAACAACUAAUCAAUAUUCGGAGACGACAAACAAAAACAGCUAAAAUUCAAUGUUCGAAACGAUAAAAUUAAUCUAAAUGUUAUAUUAAUAUGAAGAGUUUCAAGGUCGUAUAUGCUAUUUGCAGAAGACAUCGGAAUCAGAUGGAAAACAAGAGGACGAUGAAACAAGCAAUUUGCUUAUUCCUCCGCCUCACCUCUUAGGGAUGCUUUGCAAAGACAAAGAGCAGAAGGUAAGAGGAGAACUAAGAAAGAGCGGAUGAGGUCAUGAGGAACACGAGACACUCGGUGCUUCGGCGGACGAAAAUGUUGACCAGCAACGGAGAGAAACACAGAGACAGAGAGCAAAUGAUGGAAGGCUGGUCGGCCACCACCCAAGAGCAAAACACUAUAAGGAAACCUAAGUGUAUAAAUGUAAUUGUGCCGAAAGGUGGACGACGAAGAGGAGCUUUACUCCCGCUUCUAAAUAGUAGUAAAGUAAAGUAAAGUAAUAUACGAAGUGAUUCACUAAAACUUUAUAUUUUGUCAUAAUAAUUGAAGGUUUU
Molecule: long non-coding RNA, 2088 nt
Filed under: Nicotiana tabacum (common tobacco)
Lineage: Eukaryota; Viridiplantae; Streptophyta; Magnoliopsida; Solanales; Solanaceae
Description: long non-coding RNA (NTAB_LNC007108)
Source: RNAcentral